ACGGGGCGCAGCAGGCGCGAAACCUUUACAAUGCGGGCAACCGUGAUAAGGGAACCUCGAGUGCCUGUAAACGCAGGCUGUUCAGGUGUUUAAAACGCACCUGGAGAAAGGGCCGGGCAAGACCGGUGCCAGCCGCCGCGGUAAUACCGGCGGCUCGAGUGGUGGCCGCUUUUAUUGGGCUUAAAGCGUUCGUAGCUGGGUUGUUAAGUCUCUUGGGAAAUCUGG
RNAcentral lists this ribosomal RNA (225 nucleotides) under uncultured archaeon. RNAcentral describes it as "partial 16S ribosomal RNA". It matches the Rfam family "Archaeal small subunit ribosomal RNA", at positions 325 to 554 of the family's 1478-position model. The record is from RNAcentral.